Molecule: long non-coding RNA, 1882 nt
Organism: Zonotrichia leucophrys gambelii
Lineage: Eukaryota; Metazoa; Chordata; Aves; Passeriformes; Passerellidae
Exons: 3
Source: RefSeq, a predicted model, not a curated record
GGAGUAACUCCACCUCUGCACUUGUGCAACACGUUGCACCUGGCCCUGCACCUCAUUUGCACAGAAUGAAAGCUGGAAGCAGUGGAAUAGCACAAAGCUUAUAGUAGCAGCAUACUGAAUACUUACAUUCAGUUUACAGAUGUAGCAGCCUGCAGCUCUGCUUUUUAAUUUUUAUCUCCAACACGUGAUGGACACAGAAUUUUUCAUUUAUAUCUUCACUGAAGAGGAAAAAUACUAGAAUUAUGACCUCUUUUGAUUCAAUUCACAAACAGUAUUGAUUUUCUAAUGGAAUCUGAAGUGAGCCUGUUGAUUGACCUCAAGGGGGAACAAAAGUUGUCACAAUGCUGAAGAAGAAAGCAAAGAAAAUUGUAACCUUACUCUGAAAGAGGUAUUGAUAUAUUGCAGCAGAGUUAUCUUGAAGAGGCAGCAGAUUCCAAUUGCUCAGAAGGCACUCGGCAGAAUGAAUUUCCCUACAUUUUCUUAGCUGGAAAUAAAUACAAUCAGAGGCUCACACUUGAUCUGAAUCCCGUCUGUCUUGCCAGAAGAUCUGAGAGCACUAAUAAACACAGGACUUCAGAACUGCUGUUUGACCUCAGAGUGCUUUCAGAGCAAUGAAAAAUGAACUCCCAGAUGACUCUACAGAGAGUAAAAUUAUCCAGCCUGUUCUGAUCCCCUCCAUCAGGCCAGCUGUAGCCACAUUCACUUUGCUAGAAACCUCUGUAUUGGCUAGCAGUAGUUUCAUUAUUUUUCUGAAUGAUCAGUUGGACAGCAGCCAUAGAAAAAACAAAAAAGAACCUGACUUUUAUAUAGAGAAAAAUCUCUGCAAGGUUACAAGUUGUUUGUUUUUUAACAGCUAUAAACUUCUGUUAUUUAACCUUUAAGGUUUCUGGUAAUGCUUCUCCUCCUGCAGCAAACCCUUAAACUAGUUCUCCCCAGCAAGCUGCAGGGACCAUUUUGGAAGCUGAGGUAUUCCUUAAAGGGGAGAAAUAUAGGUAAGGAGAGAACUUCCAUCAUAACACCCAUUUGCACUUCUUUAGUGCCUGGUAUCAAAAAUUCCCAUUAGACUGGCAGUGCACAAUAUAUUCUGGCUGCUCUCCCUUUUGCCCUUGACGUGCCUCUCAUAUGUUGUGAGCCAGAGGGGCUGAUGAAGAGAUAGCAACAUCAGUUUUAUGCCAGCUGCAGAUUUCUCCAUCCUAGGUCAAUCCUCUGCUGCACAUUAAAGGCUACUUCAAGGUCCCUUUAUGUUCCUCAGGUGGGUGGACUUGAGCACAGGCUUGAAUGUGACCCUCAGAGAGCAGUGCAUUAUCUGAGUUCUGUGAUUUGUGUCGGCUUUAACGGUUGUUGUUUGGCUAAAAUCCUGCCGGCAGCUUGAAAGUUCAGCUUGAAUUUUGCCUUCGUCUCCCUCUUUGAUCAUGACUGUGUCUAAAGUCUAAUUCAACAAAUCUUAUUUGCCCUCUUCCUCUGACACUUGUUUAACUCCAGCGGUUUAACUCUGAAGCUUAGACCACAGUGUUCUAACGAAGGGAAAGAGGAUGAUGAAAAGACUGUGGUAGAUUGCAGAUGAGGAGAUUAUAGAACUAAUUAAAUCUGAAACAUUUUAGGUGUUGUUGCUGCAACUGGUAAAGAUGACUAAUAUUAGCAGGCAGCACUUAGGAGAUCUGUAGUUUUAAUUGUAAAUAGUCUGACACUUUAUUAAAAGUCACUCCAUAAAUCUUUUUUUUCCCCCAUAAUUAAUUGUUCUCUCCUAUCUCACUUAUCUGGUAAGCUGUCUGCAAUGCAUACAAGGAAAAUACAAAAGUCUUUUAUCUGUCAGCAAAAGGAAUGUGUAUCCUUGUAGCACAGUGCAAUUGAAAGGGUAAAUAAAACUUUCAUGUGGUAGAAC